This 31-nucleotide transfer RNA is filed under the name Cynanthus latirostris. RNAcentral's name for it is "partial tRNA-Met". The record is from RNAcentral. Lineage: Eukaryota; Metazoa; Chordata; Aves; Apodiformes; Trochilidae. RNAcentral also lists the same sequence under 1 other name.
GAAAAUGAUGGUUUAAUUCCUUCCCUUAUUA